UGUCGCUAUAGACAUGCAAAGAUGCCUGGGCCUCCACCUCCAGUGGAAGAAAUCCUUCAAAAAAUUCAGCACCUGGCAUCCAACAACUAUGGUUACUCAAACAGGUUUAAUCAAAAUCGAAAUGCUAAUUAUUCAACCCAGACAGACAAAUCUCAGGCUUCACAAGCACAGAAUGGAACGAGUCUUGCUGUGAAAUCUACAGCAACUGAGACACCCAUUAUACAACAGCACCAGCCGCAUCAACAAGUUCAGCCACCUCAACUACAGGGGGGCCCAACUCAAGCACAAAUUCAUCCCAAUGGCCAGCAAAAUCAAGCUGAUAGAACUGCAGUAGUCCUG
RNAcentral lists this unclassified non-coding RNA (339 nucleotides) under Hevea brasiliensis (rubber tree). The record is from RNAcentral. Lineage: Eukaryota; Viridiplantae; Streptophyta; Magnoliopsida; Malpighiales; Euphorbiaceae.